CGGGAAUUUUGCACAAUGGGCGAAAGCCUGAUGCAGCGACGCCGUGUGAAUGAAGAAGUCUUUCGGGAUGUAAAGUUCUGUCAGCAGGGAAGAUAAUGACUGUACCUGCAGAGGAAGCUCCGGCUAACUAUGUGCCAGCAGCCGCGGUAAUACAUAGGGAGCGAGCGUUAUCCGGAUUUAUUGGGCGUAAAGAGCGUGUAGGUGGCUUUGUAAGUUAGGUGUUAAAUUCAGCGGCUCAACUGCUGUGUGCACUUAAGACUGCAGAGCUAGAGUUUGGGAGAGGGAAGGGGAACUAACAGUGUAGCGGUGAAAUGCGUAGAUAUUGUUAGGAACACCGGUGGCGAAGGCGCCUUCCUAGACCAAAACUGACACUAAAAUGCGAAAGCGUGGGGAGCAAAC
Molecule: ribosomal RNA, 399 nt
Filed under: uncultured bacterium
Lineage: Bacteria
Description: bacterial SSU rRNA
Rfam family: Bacterial small subunit ribosomal RNA
Source: RNAcentral